GACGAACCGUGCAAGCGUUAUUCGGAAUCACUGGGCUUAAAGGGUGCGUAGGCGGCCAGAAGGGUGGGGUGUGAAAUCCCUCGGCUUAACCGAGGAAUUGCGCUCCAAACCGCCUGGCUGGAGUGAGGCAGAGGUGAGCGGAACUGAUGGUGGAGCGGUGAAAUGCGUUGAUAUCAUCAGGAACACCAGAGGCGAAGGCGGCUCACUGGGUCUCUACUGACGCUGAUGCACGAAAGCUAGGGUAGCGAACGGG
Molecule: unclassified non-coding RNA, 253 nt
Filed under: uncultured Pirellulaceae bacterium
Lineage: Bacteria; Pseudomonadati; Planctomycetota; Planctomycetia; Pirellulales; Pirellulaceae
Description: contains 16S-23S intergenic spacer region
Rfam family: Bacterial small subunit ribosomal RNA
Source: RNAcentral